UUUAGCACCAACGGUCACCAUUCAAACCCAUUAAUUGGACGGCUAAGAUGGAGAUCGCACAUAGUGCGCAUAUAGACGUUCUCACUAGAAGCGUCAUGUAAAUAAAUAAUAUACAGGAAGAUUAGCUUAGCUUAGUUGAUUUCAGAAAUUAUUAAAUAUUUUAAAAAUUCAGGGUUUGGUUAAAUAGAUAAAUUCAGCUACCAAUAAUUUAAUUUAAUUACAUGUUCAAUUGGUCAUAGAUGAUGAUUCAACAGAAUUAAGUAAAUAAAUAUAUAUAGGAAUAGGAAUAUAGGAUGGAUGGAUGAAAUAUUUUAUCUAUAAACGUAAAAAUGAACCAACAUAGCAGGUAGAUCACUCAGCAAGACAUAGCAGGUAGAUCAGGAUUGACAGUUUUGGAUCCUUCUGGCGUGGUCUUCCUGCACCCAAAAACCAAGAAUCCCACUGCGUGACCGGCGACGACCACGAUGAACAC
This 472-nucleotide long non-coding RNA is filed under the name Zostera marina. Its description in RNAcentral is "long non-coding RNA (ZMAR_LNC005635)". Lineage: Eukaryota; Viridiplantae; Streptophyta; Magnoliopsida; Alismatales; Zosteraceae. The record is from RNAcentral.